CCCUUGUACACACCGCCCGUCACGGCAUGGGAGUUGGUUUUACCCGAAGACGGUGCGCUAACCGCAAGGAGGCAGCCGGCCACGGUAGGAUCAGCAACUGGGCCG
This 105-nucleotide ribosomal RNA is filed under the name uncultured bacterium. Its description in RNAcentral is "partial 16S ribosomal RNA". It matches the Rfam family "Bacterial small subunit ribosomal RNA", at positions 1378 to 1482 of the family's 1533-position model. The record is from RNAcentral.